UGGGGAAUAUUGGACAAUGGGCGAAAGCCUGAUCCAGCCAUGCCGCGUGUGUGAAGAAGGUCUUCGGAUUGUAAAGCACUUUAAGUUGGGAGGAAGGGCAGUUACCUAAUACGUAUCUGUUUUGACGUUACCGACAGAAUAAGCACCGGCUAACUCUGUGCCAGCAGCCGCGGUAAUACAGAGGGUGCAAGCGUUAAUCGGAAUUACUGGGCGUAAAGCGCGCGUAGGUGGUUAGUUAAGUUGGAUGUGAAAUCCCCGGGCUCAACCUGGGAACUGCAUUCAAAACUGACUGACUAGAGUAUGGUAGAGGGUGGUGGAAUUUCCUGUGUAGCGGUGAAAUGCGUAGAUAUAGGAAGGAACACCAGUGGCGAAGGCGACCACCUGGACUGAUACUGACACUGAGGUGCGAAAGCGUGGGGAGCAAACAGGAUUAGAUACCCAGGUAGUCCCUGAGCGGGCUGGCAAGGCGCAU
This 472-nucleotide ribosomal RNA is filed under the name uncultured bacterium. Its description in RNAcentral is "bacterial SSU rRNA". It matches the Rfam family "Bacterial small subunit ribosomal RNA", at positions 355 to 825 of the family's 1533-position model. The record is from RNAcentral.